CUACGGGUGGCUGCAGUGAGGAAUUUUGCGCAAUGGGGGAAACCCUGACGCAGCAACGCCGCGUGAGUGAAGAAGGCCCUUGGGUCGUAAAGCUCUGUCAAUGGGGAAGAAGUUAUUAUGUGUUAAUAGCACAUUUUAUUGACGGUACCCAUGAAGGAAGCACCGGCUAACUCCGUGCCAGCAGCCGCGGUAAUACGGGGGGUGCAAGCGUUAUUCGGAAUUAUUGGGCGUAAAGGGCACGCAGGCGGUCCUGUCAGUCAGAUGUGAAAGCCCGGGGCUCAACCCCGGACGUGCAUUUGGAACAGCAGGACUUGAGUACGGGAGAGGGAAGGGGAAUUCCUGGUGUAGAGGUGAAAUUCGUAGAUAUCAGGAGGAACACCGGUGGCGAAGGCGCCUUUCUGGACCGAUACUGACGCUGAGGUGCGAAGGCGUGGGUAGCGAACGGGAUUAGAUACCCGGGUAGUC
This 465-nucleotide ribosomal RNA is filed under the name uncultured bacterium. Its description in RNAcentral is "partial 16S ribosomal RNA". It matches the Rfam family "Bacterial small subunit ribosomal RNA", at positions 339 to 795 of the family's 1533-position model. The record is from RNAcentral.